UUUCCAAUAUAAUAAACACUAAAAUCUCCAAAACACCGAGAAAAUCUAUCCAUCCCCAAUUUUUUCGAUUUCCCCAAAUUCUUCCUCUCUGCAGCUCCAAAAACCCUAACUCCAUCCUUCAAUGGCGAAGAAACGAAGAGUUGAAGAUGAAGAAGACACAGACCCAGAAAUGGAUUCAUCAUCAGAAGAAGUAGAAGAAAUAGAAGAGGAGGAGGAAGACGACGAGGAAGAAACAGAUAAAUCAGUCGAACCAGAAGCUGAAGAACCAGCAGCAGCAGAAGAAGAUUUAACAAAGAUUCUUGAAAUAUUCAGUAAAGAACAAUUAAUUGAUAUUAUUCGUUCAGCAUCAACAGAGAAUAAAAAACUCGUUGAAGAUAUUCAUAAAUUAGCAGAUCAAGAUCCAUCUCAUCGGAAAUUGUUUGUUCAUGGAUUAGGUUGGGAAACAACAUCAGAUAAACUCAGAGAAAUUUUCUCUACUUACGGUGAGCUUGAAGAUUGUAAUGUUGUUGUUGAUAAAAAUACAGGUAAAUCAAAAGGGUAUGGUUUCAUAUUAUAUAAACAUAGAAAAUCUGCUUUAAAAGCUUUGCAAGAGCCACAGAAGAAGAUUGAGAAUCGGAUGACUGCUUGUCAGUUAGCUUCUUCUGGACCUGUUAAUAUUCCUUCUCAACAACAGCACCAUCAGCAGCCGCAGCAGCACCAAUAUCAACAGAUGAAUCAUCAUGUGAAGAAGAAUGGUAAUUCUUCUGCGGCGGGGAUGUCGCCGGAGAUGUUGCAGAGGAAAAUCUAUGUAGGUAAUGUACAAUCUGAGAUUUCUGGUGAGAAAUUACAUUCUUUUUUCUCAAAGUAUGGUGAAAUUGAAGAAGGUCCAUUAGGGUUUGAUAAAAACACUGGGAAACCUAAAGGGUAUGCUUUGUUUAUAUAUAAAACUCUUGAAGGUGCAAGAAAGGCUUUAGAGGAACCUAGCAAGAAUUUUGAAGGGCAUGUGUUGUUUUGUCAGAAAGCUACUGAUAACAACAAGCAGAAAUCAGGUUCUGGUUCUGCACCUUUACCUACUGGGAGUUUGCCUAUGAAUAAUGAUGGGUUUAAUCAUGCUGGUAAUCCUGGAGUUGGUGGGUUUAAUCCUCCACAGCCUGGUGUUGGUCCUGGUUUUAAUCCUCAGAAUGGUGUUAUGGGUCAUCAUGGGCUUAUGAUGAAUCAGGGACUUAUGGGUGGUGUUCCGCCGUAUGGUCAAGGGAUGCAACCGAUUCAAGCUGCAUUAGCUGUACUUGCUGCUGCAGGGCAGAAUCCAGGUGCUUUUGGAGUGAUGAACCCUGCUUUAGCAGGUUUUAAUCCAAUGGCACCUAUGCAACCAGGAUUGGGAGCUUUUGGAAUGGGUAACCCAAUGUAUCAGAAUCCACAAGGUCAUCAACUAAUUGGACCCCCUGGGCAAGGUCCUGCUAAGAGACCCGCUUUAGGGCCACCGGGAGGAUAUGGAGCUCGUUGAGUUUGUCCCGAUUUCCUGGUACUCCAGGCAUGAUAUAGUCUGCUCCACUAUAUCCUCUCCUGUUGAAUGUGAAAAGCCAAAUCACGCUUCUUCAUGAGCAAGAAAGUAACAAAUCAUUCUUUUCAGGGCCAUGAAAAGAACUAGGCUUUCGUAAGCCUAACAUGGAGAGUCUAGGACUACGGGAUCAUUGCUAUUUUAUUAAGUAUGUUUCUAGAAACAAACCUAGUUAUGGAGGCCCUCUGAUAUUUUCACCCUGAUAUUGAGAAGCAGAUAAACUACGUUAUUUCCGGUAACAAAAGUAUGACGCAGAAAUUACAGAUGAUGGAAGGCUAACUGCUACUUAACAACAGAAAAGCAGUCUCCAGCCCCAUGUACCGAAGUUGGCUUAAGCUUGUUUUUUAUUGUUGCCAUUGUCAUUUAUUUUGUACUCAACUUUUCAUAUUAAUUUUCUACAAAUUUUGAAUACGUUGCAAAUUGAUAUGUAUGCCCAGUUCACUAAUUUCGGAUCUCUAAACUGGUAAAUGUUAAAUCCAGUAAAAAUGACCUUACAGU
RNA transcript from Papaver somniferum (opium poppy), 2035 nucleotides. It is a transcript of the gene named UBP1-associated protein 2B-like, with no coding region annotated. The record is from RefSeq and is a predicted model, not a curated record. Lineage: Eukaryota; Viridiplantae; Streptophyta; Magnoliopsida; Ranunculales; Papaveraceae. The transcript has 3 exons.